Molecule: long non-coding RNA, 2436 nt
Filed under: Homo sapiens (human)
Lineage: Eukaryota; Metazoa; Chordata; Mammalia; Primates; Hominidae
Description: uncharacterized LOC127814295, transcript variant 10 (LOC127814295)
Source: RNAcentral
AUCUCUGCGUGACUUCCGCCAGCGUUUAGAGCGUUUUCGGGGUCCGAGUUGAAGAGCAAAACCAAGUGAAGGAAACUUCACUAAGUUCAGGGUGACAAGGGAGGAAGUACAGAGACUGCACUUUAAAUUCUGGAUGACAGACCUAUCAGGACUGAGUGGACCUUUGAGUGACAAGAUGGGGGUGUUCCAAAGAGACCAUGGCAGCCUGCAGCUAGGACUUUAAUUGAACUAUUGGCAUGGCUCAAUCCAUUGACCUGUUUUGGUUCCUGAUGAAGUUUUGUUAAUUUAAAUGAGAAAAAUAAGGACAGUGAAAAACAGAGCGCUUAAAAAGCACUGUCUGGAUAUCUUCAGAGGGAAAAAGGAGAAAGUUAACUGAAUUGGUGACACUUCGGGUCUCUCACAGAGGAAGGUAAGGUUUCAGUCAACAGCACAUAGAGGAUUAUCCUCAUUUACCCAGGACUGACAGUGUUUGUGAAUUCUAAAGCUGUGCAUGUAGUGAAUAUACAAGAUAAAAUUGAAAUGAGAAUAACGGAAUAGCAUUGUAGAAAUGAUUAAAAUGUACCCAAGCCCCAAGUUUUCAGAUAACAUGAUAGUUUUCUAAUGGUGAAACUGUUUAAGAUGUAUAGUCAUAAAAAAGAUUAAAAAAAAUAAGAAACAGUUGUAUAGCCAACUUUUAAUAAUCUGUGUUAUAGACUCCAUAGCAGAUCUGAAGGUAGCUAUAUGCCAGCAGCAGAAGGUGCACCCUGGAGCACAGUUUUGUAGCAGUUCUCCAAGCUGACCAGCUGAGGACUAGUGACCCUACUUAAGAACAGUUGGCUAAGAGGAUAGUCAAGUGAGGGGAAUGUGCUACAAGAGAAUCAUAGUAGAUAGAGAUGCAAACAAAAGGGAGAGUCUUUCUUCUUGUUCCUUUCUGAUCUGUAGAACCUGCAGGCCCACUGUAGAGCUCCCAUUGGAGUACAGUGGAGCAUGAAGAGAGAAUCCUUAGGAGAGCUUGUCAAGGAAUUUGGGGGAGGAGUGUGUUUGCAAACAUGGGGGAAAGUACUUAUUAAUCAUUUAGAUGUUCUGCAGGCAGAAAGCUUACUAGUGUAGUGUGUAGGGCUGCAAGCCACCAAAGUAAUGACUACUUGAAAGAGGACCAAUAGUUUCUGAAGCUCUGUGUGAAAAGAUACAGUGGUUGGGGUGGGGUGCGGAAUCUCUAGAGCAGCUCAUACAGCCACAGGGCAAAGAGAGGGAACCCCCACACGGAAAAAAAGAUUGCAGCAGGGAUGGAGAGCUAGUAGCUUUAGGAUGACUAGACACUUCUGAAAGUGAGCACUCUGUCCUUACAGAGACCACCAAACCAACAGAAGCCACCAGGACAGCACACAGCCAUUCCAAAAUUCCAGACCAGGAUCAUUCCAGAAAAGCCUUACAUCUCAGUCCAGUAUAUGGAUGGUUUUGUAAGAUGACCUAUGAUUUUUCUGUUCCUCCUUCCUGCCCCUAACUUCAGAGAAACAGACCUAGAAAGAGGGAAGGAAGGAGUGAAAAAGCGUGCCAUACUUUAUCUUCUCCCCUUCUGUUUUAAACUAGACAAAUCUAUAUUUUAAUUAUUAUAAGUAACCAGAAAGUUAUAUGGUCUGGCCAGGAUGGCAUUAAAGAAAAUGAGAGAGAAAAGUUUAAGAUAGCAUGGUUGGAGACAAUAAGUAGAAGAAACCAAGUAGUUCAAGUUUUAUAACGCUCUAUCUUAUAAACACUCUUGAACCAAUAAUAAUGCUAUUACUGAAAUGCUACACACAAUUGAAGACUACUUGUUAGACCAAGACCUUAAAAACUUCUUUACUGAUUAUUCCCAAUGUGUGGCCCUGGUAAUCAUUGAAGAAUCAUUGUAUUGACUAUUAAACAUCUAGGGAUCACCUGUUUAAAUCAAGUUAACAAAACACUUACUUAACAAAUAUAUAUUGAUUGCCUAUUAUGAAGUAGAUGCUAUAGUAGGUGCUGGCAGUAUAAACAUGAAAAGAGACAUUGUGUGUGCAUAUUAAUAUACAGCAAAUUAAACUUCAGCCAGAGAAGUACUUUACUAGAAGGUUGAUAGAAGUGUGGUGGUAGCUUGCAGGAGGAAGCAGUUAGCCUCCUUGGAAAUGAGUAAUCUUCACAGAAAGUAUGACAUUUGACCUGCUUCUUGGAGAAGAUGCAUAUUAAACCUAUUAAAUCCAUGUCAGCCUUUAACACCUUUGCUCAGAUUAGUUUCUCGAGCUGUUUUCCCACCUGGUGAGCAGAUAAGAGCAGGACAGGAAAGUUCUGAUGAAAGGAAGAAGUGCCAGAGAGAGAAGGCCUUGCAAGCAAAGAAGCCUGACAGGCAGGAGCCCCUGAGUAUCCUAAGGAGAAGUACCAGCGAUUUAGGGAAGAAAAUUGCUGCCAGAAGUGCAGGAAAUAAAAAUUCUGACCUAGAUCAUUUUA